RNAcentral lists this ribosomal RNA (469 nucleotides) under uncultured bacterium. RNAcentral's name for it is "partial 16S ribosomal RNA". It matches the Rfam family "Bacterial small subunit ribosomal RNA", at positions 28 to 507 of the family's 1533-position model. The record is from RNAcentral.
GACGAACGCUGGCGGCGUGCUUAACACAUGCAAGUCGAACGGUGAAGCGAGUGCUUGCACUCGUGGAUCAGUGGCGAACGGGUGAGUAACACGUGAGUAACCUGCCCAUCACUCUGGGAUAAGCACUGGAAACGGUGUCUAAUACUGGAUACGACCAACCCUUGCAUGGGGUGUUGGUGGAAAGAUUUAUCGGUGAUGGAUGGACUCGCGGCCUAUCAGCUUGUUGGCGGGGUAAUGGCCCACCAAGGCGACGACGGGUAGCCGGCCUGAGAGGGUGACCGGCCACACUGGGACUGAGACACGGCCCAGACUCCUACGGGAGGCAGCAGUGGGGAAUAUUGCACAAUGGGCGAAAGCCUGAUGCAGCGACGCCGCGUGAGGGAUGACGGCCUUCGGGUUGUAAACCUCUUUCAGCAGGGAAGAAGCGAAAAUGACGGUACCUGCAGAAGAAGCACCGGCUAACUACGUG